Molecule: ribosomal RNA, 433 nt
Filed under: uncultured bacterium
Lineage: Bacteria
Description: partial 16S ribosomal RNA
Rfam family: Bacterial small subunit ribosomal RNA
Source: RNAcentral
AACGAGCGCUGGCGGCAUGCCUAACACAUGCAAGUCGAACGAGACCUUCGGGUCUAGUGGCGCACGGGUGCGUAACGCGUGGGAACCUGCCCUUAGGUUCGGAAUAACUCCCCGAAAGGGGUGCUAAUACCGGAUAAUGUCUUCGGACCAAAGAUUUAUCGCCUUUGGAUGGGCCCGCGUUGGAUUAGCUAGUUGGUAGGGUAAAAGCCUACCAAGGCGACGAUCCAUAGCUGGUCUGAGAGGAUGAUCAGCCACACUGGGACUGAGACACGGCCCAGACUCCCACGGGAGGCAGCAGUGGGGAAUAUUGGACAAUGGGCGAAAGCCUGAUCCAGCAAUGCCGCGUGAGUGAUGAAGGCCUUAGGGUUGUAAAGCUCUUUUACCCGGGAUGAUAAUGACAGUACCGGGAGAAUAAGCUCCGGCUAACUCCGUG